This 234-nucleotide ribosomal RNA is filed under the name uncultured bacterium. RNAcentral describes it as "partial 16S ribosomal RNA". It matches the Rfam family "Bacterial small subunit ribosomal RNA", at positions 118 to 347 of the family's 1533-position model. The record is from RNAcentral.
UGAGCAAUCUGCCCUUCUCUUCGGAAUAAGCGUUGGAAACGACGUCUAAUGCCGAAUACGACCUCCUUUCGCAUGAUCGGAGGUGGAAAGCUCCGGCGGAGAAGGAUGAGCUCGCGGCCUAUCAGCUAGUUGGUGUGGGUAAUGGCCCACCAAGGCGACGACGGGUAGCCGGCCUGAGAGGGUGACCGGCCACACUGGGACUGAGACACGGCCCAGACUCCUACGGGAGCAGCG